Non-coding RNA from Brassica napus (rape), 98 nucleotides. The record is from Rfam. Lineage: Eukaryota; Viridiplantae; Streptophyta; Magnoliopsida; Brassicales; Brassicaceae.
GGUUCUAUGGUGUAGUGGUUAGCACUCUGGACUUUGAAUCCAGCGACAUUUUAACGAAAUCAUAAGCUAUUUUUUUGUCUCCGAAAAAAUUUAAAUCA